Molecule: ribosomal RNA, 497 nt
Filed under: uncultured bacterium
Lineage: Bacteria
Description: partial 16S ribosomal RNA
Rfam family: Bacterial small subunit ribosomal RNA
Source: RNAcentral
GAUGAACGCUGGCGGCGUGCCUAAUACAUGCAAGUCGAGCGAACAGACGAGGAGCUUGCUCCUCUGACGUUAGCGGCGGACGGGUGAGUAACACGUGGAUAACCUACCUAUAAGACUGGGAUAACUUCGGGAAACCGGAGCUAAUACCGGAUAAUAUAUUGAACCGCAUGGUUCAAUAGUGAAAGACGGUUUUGCUGUCACUUAUGGAUGGAUCCGCGCCGCAUUAGCUAGUUGGUAAGGUAACGGCUUACCAAGGCGACGAUGCGUAGCCGACCUGAGAGGGUGAUCGGCCACACUGGAACUGAGACACGGUCCAGACUCCUACGGGAGGCAGCAGUAGGGAAUCUUCCGCAAUGGGCGAAAGCCUGACGGAGCAACGCCGCGUGAGUGAUGAAGGUCUUCGGAUCGUAAAACUCUGUUAUUAGGGAAGAACAAAUGUGUAAGUAACUAUGCACGUCUUGACGAUACCUAAUCAGAAAGCCACGGCUAACUACGUG